This 63-nucleotide transfer RNA is filed under the name Phytophthora infestans (potato late blight agent). Its description in RNAcentral is "tRNA-Ser". It matches the Rfam family "tRNA". From Rfam's summary of the family: Transfer RNA (tRNA) molecules are approximately 80 nucleotides in length. Their secondary structure includes four short double-helical elements and three loops (D, anti-codon, and T loops). Lineage: Eukaryota; Oomycota; Peronosporomycetes; Peronosporales; Peronosporaceae. The record is from RNAcentral.
GGGGAUGUAGCUCAAAUGGUAGAGCGCUCGCUUAGGUACAGGGAUCGAUACCCUGCUUCUCCA